This 313-nucleotide ribosomal RNA is filed under the name Benthosema glaciale. Its description in RNAcentral is "partial 12S ribosomal RNA". It matches the Rfam family "Bacterial small subunit ribosomal RNA", at positions 1034 to 1491 of the family's 1533-position model. The record is from RNAcentral. Lineage: Eukaryota; Metazoa; Chordata; Actinopteri; Myctophiformes; Myctophidae.
UCCGUCUAUAUACCUCCGUCGUCAGCUUACCCUGUGAAGGACUCAUAGUAAGCUUAACUGGCACAGCCCAAAACGUCAGGUCGAGGUGUAGCAUACGAAGUGUGCAAGAGAUAGGCUACAUUUUCUGACUCAGAAUACUACGAAAGAGGAAAUGAAAAACCCUCCGAAGGCGGAUUUAGCAGUAAGCAAGGAAUAGAGCGCCCCGCUGAAACUGGCCCUGAAGCGCGUACACACCGCCCGUCACUCUCCCCAAACCCAACCAACCCCUCACUAACAUAUAUCACCCCCUGGAUAAAGGGGAGGCAAGUCGUAA